GGUGGGGGGAGGAGGAGCUGAAGAGUGAGUGACCAGGCACCCUCACCUCAACCUUUUGACCGAUAAAUGUCCUUUGCCUCCCUGUGAAGGGGGUGUUUCUGAUUCUGAGUCAGUGGACGAGGGUUCGGCUCCCAGCUCCUCAUUUCCACACACUUAGUGUGACAUUGGGGACUCUCUUUUGCCCCAGAUUUUCCAUCUGAAAGAUGGGGAGACAAUUACAGCUUCCUUGCAAGGUUGAUGGGGUGAUUAGAGAAGGAGUUUGCACGGGAUUCGGCCUAGAGGGAGGCCUCAGUAGCCUGCAGCUGUAUCACAACUAGCUUUUUAAAAACACUUAUUACUUUCAAUAAGGAAGGAGCGCUACUACUUCUUACUCUCUCAGUGCAGGAGACACUGAAAACCUCGGGGCAGAGAUGGGGACCUUGCCCCUCCCUGAAUCACGGCAGCCCCUAGAACACAGCGGCCUGCAAACAGUGAACAGUCAAGAAAGCAUUGUCAUCGUGGAUUUGAUGUGAACCAGCAGUGCGUACUCAGAAUCAAGAGGGCCAGUUGCUGGGUGCGGGGUGUAACUGUGCCUGGCACCCUGCAUCACGGAGCUGGUGGCUUUUCAUUAAAGCCCAUGAGCGACGGUGUGGGAAAGGCUUGCCCGUGCGGGCUUGGGUCAGAAUGAAUGACUCCCCGUGUCAAGCCACACUCAGGAAGUCACAGAUCUCCAGGCCUUCGUUUCUAGUCCUCCUUAAUCUGGAAGCUCCGCUGAAACCCGUUCAGCAUCAUAGCAUCAUAUAAGCCUCCAGUGACAGAUGGGUGGUAGCUGCACGUGAGACCAGGAAUGGAACCCAUGUCUCCUGCAUGGAAGGUGAGCAUUCUACCACUGAACCACAGUACCUCAUUCUUUAUUCCUGACACUCUGGCUUUCUGGCGACUUCUAACACUUGGACGGCGUUCCUACCUCUUCCUGGACAGAUGAUGGCAUUGUAGCACUUCCGUAGUAUCUUCCCUUGUCUGUUGAAUCAGCCAUGCCGGAGGCGGCUCAGGUCAGUGUUCACAUCCUGAGGGAAACCAACCAAUGCCACGAUCUCUGUAUUUUCUAAAAGGGAGGCAGGAGAGUCUUACAUCUACAGUCAAAAGUGGUCUGACCUCAUUGUAAUUCAGGCUUGAACUGUCCACCCCAAACUCUGUCCAGAGGCCAUUUCUCUAAUUCUGGAAGCAACAAUCUCCAGAGAGAAGCUUUCCAUCUGUGUUCUUAUGAAGCUAAGGCCUUAGUGCAGUUCGUUAUUUAUUAUAGCUCCUGCUUUAGGUUAAGCUAUGAUUUUUUUUUUUUUUGUCUGAUAUUAAGAAUUCAACCGGGUUGGUAUAAAAAUAGGCUUGGCAUCCGCUUCUGCAGAUUGACUCUUUGAACAGGAUAUUUUGGGGGAGGUUUAUAAUUAUUCCCAAAGUGCUUUCAUUCUUAGCCAAUACUUAAUAUCUGCUUUGGCUGUUCACACAAAUACUGCCUCUUAUCAGACAUGUCUGCGUAUCGUGUGUGGUCAAAGUCACCAAUAAUGAGGUAGGUCCUCGCAGGCUCUGCACGCAUGUUUUGGGCUGGAACGCUUGUCCCCAGAGGCCUGGAGAUGAGACAGGAGCUGUCAUCAUGUGGUACACGGAGUCUCACGUUCACAGCCAAUCCAAAGCCUCAGAACCGGGAGUUUGUGUGAGUGCUUUGAAAAAACAAAGAAAUUAGCAGGCAAAAUAACUGACAUUCCAACUGUCUCGUUGUCCUCCAGGGCAGUGACACCGUGCUUGAAGCAGGGUGAAGCAGCGAACACCCACGUGGGGUAGGGAGCUGGGCUUCUGAUUCUGUCUGGUUCAUCCUUUUACUGCAGGGCCGAGCUCCUCCUUCUCAGGCCUGGGACCCUCUGCUAGCAUGCAGGAUGGGAUCUGUCCUUCCAGCAGAGCAGAGGCAGCCCUGAGAGGCCACCUUGGAAGGUGAGCACUUCUGCAGAGCACAGCCCCACAAAGUGACAGGCUGCUCCGUCUGGAGGAAGGAAGUGGACCUUUGAUGCCAUCUCCCCUCCUUGCCCCCUGUUAAAGCAUUGUUAUUUAUUCCUAUAAAGGGGGAGAGUAGUUCCCUUCUUGGCAAUCCCUGGCCACUUGUGACCAUAUUAACAGAGGCUUUGUUGUUGUUAUUAACCCCUUGCUGUUGAGUCGAUUCUAACUCAUAGUGACCCUAUAGGAGAGAGUAGAACUGUCCCAUACGGUUUCCAAGGGGUCACGGGUGGAUUUGAACUGCUGACAUUUGAGUUUGCAGCCCAACAGCCCAGCUCUUAACCAUUGCCAUCAAGUCGUCCUCUAACUCACAGUGAUCGCACGCACAGUGGAACGAAGCCCCUGUCCCGGCCAUCUGCGUGAUUGGUUGCAUGCAGAUCGCACCAUUGUGAUCCAUAAGGUUUUUAUUGGCUAAUAUUUGGAAGUAGGUCACCAGGUCUUUCUUCCUAGUCUGUCUCAGUCUGGAAGUUCUGCUGAAACCUGUUGAGCAUCCCAGCAACAAGCAGCCCACCACUGACAGACGGCUGAUGACUGUGCACGAGGUGCGCUGGCUGAGAGCGGAACCUGGGACUCCCGCACGGAAGAUUCAUCCCUAACAAGAAAACCUAGAGGACGGGUGUAUGGCAUUUGGGGAAUACAGAAGCUUUUACCCACAGCCAGAAAGGACGCGCUGGCGUCCAGCCUCAGAGGCCAGGGGGCAGGGCGCAGGGGUGAACACUUGGAAAGCCUCUCCUCCUACCCUUAGCACUCUGAACAGGCUUCUGCCCCUCGGUGACUUUCUCUUCGUUCCUAAUCUGUGGUUUUGCUCCUGGCCUGUGACUCCCAGGCUCCGUGUCGGAAAAGGGACAGCAACGGAAGGAAAACAAGAACAGCAAACACAAUAUAAAUGAGCAGAGGUCCUUGGAGCCAGGUGAGAGUGCGACUUAGCCUCUGUGCCGGGAAGAGGUAACAACUGAAAAAUUGCUCCCCUUCACCCUGAAGGAUGAGUCUCCCUCAACCUUGUCUUGUUGGCACAUGACUCCUUCACCUCUUUUUAUUAACACUUAAGUAUUUGGGAAACCCUGGUGGCAUAACUGUUAAGAGCUACAGCUGCUCACCAAAAGGUCAGCAGUUCGAAUCCACCAGGCGCUCCUUGGAAACCCUAUGGGGCAGUUCUACUCUGUCUUAUAGGGUCACUAUGAGUCAGAAUCAACUCAAUGGCAACGAGUUUUUUUUACGUAUUUGAUAAUCUGAAGGGAAAAAUAAAUACAGAUUUCUAAGCCAGUUCUAGCAGACUCGGCUUGUCUGCAAAAAGCACUGAUGGUAUCUUCACGUCAGCGUGAGUGAGGCUGAUGAUGAAGGUGCAUGUGUACUUGCAAGGGUGAGAUGGACAGAAAGUCGCUGCAGAAGGGGUGUUGGUGAGCCCCUGGCCUGCAACUCUGGGUUCUUAGUGCUCUCUAAAGAAAAGGCAACGUCUUCACACAUCUUCUCCGUCGGAAUAUCAGCUCUGUGCGGUGCGGAGCCUUGUUAGUUUGUUUACCGCUUCGUCUUCAGCUCGGUGGCUGGCUCCUGACUGAAAGACUGAUGGUUCAAGCCCGCUCAGAGGCCCACAGAUGAGAGGCCUGGUGAUCUACUUGCAAUCAAUCGGCUGUUGAAAAGCAUGGAGCACCAUUCUACUCGGACACACAUGGGGUCCCCAUGAGUGGGAAUCAACUCCAUGGUGACCGUCUUUUUCCCCCACAGCACCUAGGACAGGGCCUGGAGGUGCUCAGCAAACACUCCAUGAAUGAAGGGACACAUGAUGACUGCCGUCACUCAGAUCUGAAAGGAGAAAAGUAAGAAGGCCGUCACCCCCCCGGCACUGCCAAACCACCUCAUCUUCUUUCCACGCCUCCUGAUUUCUGUCCCUGUUACCUUCAUCAUUGAAGGGGUGUGUGUUUGGAAGCUCUGGGUCAUUUUGAUUCUUCUUUCUUCCACUGCUUGUCAUAUUCCGUAUUUUCCUGGCCUACCAAACCAAAAAAAAGAAAACAAACAAAAAACAUUGCCAUCUAACAUGUUUUUCAAAGUAGAGCUGAGCUCCACAGGGUUUUCUUGGUUGUAAUCUUUACAGAAGCAGGUCUCAGGCCUUUAUUCUGCUGCACCACAGGGUGGGUUCAAACCACCAACCUUUCGGGUUAGUGGCUGAGUGCAAACCGUUUGCACUGCCUGGUCUACAGUGUCCUUUCCGUUCUCUCCAUGCGGUCCUGGGGCUGGUCCCCUUGCCUAGGCUGCUGCUGCAGCCUCCUCCUGGGUUUCCCUGCCUCACGGUGCAUCCUGCAGGCCAGCGCCAGCCCACGCUCCCUCUGGUACAGCCACUACCAUGUCCUUGCUGCUCCAGAGUUUGCAGGCUCCUUGUCCAUGGAAUGAAGUACGGGUGCCUCAUGGAGGCACAUGAAGGAUUGUGGAGCCCAAACUCACGUUCUCAGCCUUGCCUUCUCUGGGUACAUGGCAUUUUGAUGGGCUGGAGACGUUUGACAUGGCCUAAAGGACAAAAAAGUCCAAAUCAUUAAACUAUUAAAUAAGGCCUACAACGGUCAGCCUUACUGUUGCUGGCUGCUGGGCUUCCUCCCUUCCAAAGACAAUGCAGACUCUUCCCCCACACCGGCCCUCCCUCUCCACCCUUUCCCUUCCUGAUUUUUCCUUAAUUUGACUAGAAAACACUCGAUGAUGGAUGGGAAAUUGGACUUGGACUUUUCAUGUCUGCUCCCUGCGGAGUUGCUGAUCCUUAAAUUUAGAUGACCGCCACACCCCGGUCAGCGCUGACAGCCGCUUCUGUGUCUGAAAGCCUGUUGUGGCCCAUUUCCUGUAUAAUUGGCCAUUAAGAAUCAAAACCGGUCAUCUGUUCAGCUAGAUAUAUAUAAUUUUCCAAUUCAUAACACUUAAAAUAGUAAUCUCGAACUAUUUUGUUAAUUUUUAAUAUGCUCUGUCUGUGCAACUGGACACCAGUUCUUGAGACCUACUCAGACUUCCCAUUAUUCAGGAGCCUGGCCAAGCCCCGAAAGGCUUUUUUCCAUCUCGUAGACUUUUAUUCCAGCUGUGGGAUACCAUCAAUUCCAUCUGAUUACUCACUUCCCUGUUUUGUUCACACUUAGUCAUCAACCAAUUUUAUUAAAAAUGGUGACUGACCCAACUUGCUAUUACACGUGAAGGUGGUUUACCUUCAGCAUCUGCGUGGGGAGGACUGUCUUCUGAAAUCCUUUAAUUUUAAUUUUUUCCCCAUAGAACAGGUGUGAAUAAUGAGUAAGAAGAGUGGGAGAUUGUCCUUCUUUAUAUAUUCUUCAAUAUUUUUCUUUAAAAGGAACGUGUUAUUCUACUUCUUAAUCUGUGUUGCUGUGUUUUAGUAGCUUUUGAAAACUUUGUGUGUGUAUAUAUACAAAGUGUUUAUGUACAUAAAUAUACAUUAUAUAUGUAUAUAUAAGGGAGCCCUGGUGGUGCAAUGGUUAAGCAAGCCAAAAGGUCUGCAGUUUCAAUCCACCAGCCACUCCUUGGAAACCCCAUGGGGCAAUUCUGCUCUGUCCUACAGGGUCACUAUGAGUCAGAAUCAACUCGACAGCAAUGGGUUAUGAAUAUAAUAUAUAUUUUUUAUAUAUGUAAAUAAAAUAGAGAUCAAGCAUACUUAUUAAAAACCAUAAAUUAAAGUCUAUUCCCCAAUCAGAUAUUUAAAUGAAAUACUAGAUGUUUAAAAAAAAUCUUUUCAAUUAGAUUUUUCUCCCCAAAAUUUCUUUUGUGCCUGAGGGUCAAAAAAAACUCUCGAAGUGUAAUUUUGCAGUCUGCCGUUUAUUAUGAUGUCGUUUCAAGCACCUUAUAAUAGGUUUCUGACCUGUGCAUAGAGGCAUACAUAAGAAGAAAGAACAUUCAGCUUUGAGCUGUUAAUUUGCACACAAAGUACUUAAUCACAUAGGACACAAUCGUUGCUCAAAAUCCAUAGGAUCGGCUAAUGUCAAACUUGCUUGUCAUCAAAGAUGGUCGAAGUGGAGCAGAGCCUGCCUGAGUGGAUGAUGGUGGUAAUUUUGGACCCUGUGCUUAUAUUUUACAUAGAUUUUUCUCACUUCAUCCUUCUAGUAAACUUAUGAGGUGGGUAUGAUGACAAUCCCCAUUUGCCAGAUGAGAAAACUGAGCUGAGGCUCAGAGAGCCUGGGCACCUUGCCCAGGGCUGCCCAGCUAUAGAGCCUGGUCUCCUGACUCCAGCUGGGCCCCAGCUCCUCUCCACUGGGCCAUCCUGUCUUGCCACGCUGAGAGUUGGCCAGGCUGCUCUUCUCACUUCAGCCAGGUACACGUUCUCCAGAAAUCACAGCUUCUCACCACAAUACUGCAGUGUCAUGGAUCACUUUUGUGCGGUCCUUCUCGUCAUGGUCUUGUAACUCCCACCCAAGUGACUGGGCGGGACUGUGCAGAUAGGGUAAUUGUGGCCCACCAAGGGGCUUGGUCUGUUUUGCCACCCCACUGAGCUUGAAAUGAGCCACCUCAGAGGUGGGAAGGACAGGAUUUCACCACCGCCAAGGAAGAAUGGCCAGGAGCAGAGGGCGCGUCCUUUGGACUCUGGAUCCCUGCUUUGAGAACCUCCUGGACCCAGGAGACUGAGAGAGACAAUGAGCUGUAACCCUGAAGACAGAGAGAAGCAGUGGCAGGAGAGACAGGCAGGAGACCUUGCAGUGGGCUUCCCAGGCCACAGAGCAAGAAAGCUGAGUGCCUGGGAUGUCUCUGGGGACUUACUGGCAGGGGCUAAAAGAGCUUUGUAACAUUCGCCUGAGCGGGGCAGAGGCCUAAAGAAGUGUGCCUGCAAGCACAGCUGAAAAGAGGUGGUCCUGAUGAAAAAACUAUACAUCCUGAGUGUUCCUGAGCCUGAAUUGUAACCUGUUGCUUUCCUAAUAAACUCCAUAAUUGUGAGUAUGGUCUGUGAGUUCUGUGUGGCCAUCACCAAGAAUUAUCGAACCCAGUAGAAAGUGCUAUGGGAGGAAUGGUUGGGGUUAGAAUUGGUAAAGAUGGCGGAGAGAGGAGGCAUGUCUGACCUCCAUCUCGUAGGAAUCACCCUUGGGCUGUUGAUCUUGAUUCUCCUUCCGCCUUGGGAAGCUAGAGGCGGUCAGACACCGCCCCCAAACCAUUUUUACAAGUAAGACUCCUGAGGAAGCAUUCCUUACCAAAUAAUGAAUUUGGAGAUUUGGGGAACACGUGUUGAUGAUCACAGGCAUCAGAACUAUAGAACUUCAGUGGUCCCCUGUAGACUGUAAGCUCCUUGGGGGACAGGACACACGUUUACCUUCAUUUUAUCAUUCCCACCCAGCCCCUAGCCCAGUGUCAUGCACAUGGCAGUGCUCAGCUGAGGAAGAUGCUAGCUCAGUGAAGAGAGUACCAGCUUGCAAGGUCAAUUCCGGAGUCAGAGCACCUGGUUGAACUUGGCUCUGCUCUUGGCUGAGUGACAUUAGGCAAGUCACCUAACCUGUCUGAGUCUCCACAUUCUCGUCUCUAAAGAUGAAGACAAAAUCUGCUUCCUGUGGUGGUUGUGAAAACAAGUGAGAAAAUUAUUGUGAAAGUGUUCUGUAAACUGUAAUUAUUACAAAUAUAAGCAAGGAAGCAACUUCCAGUCGAAAGGAAUUGCAGAGACCUCCAGAUACUCCAGGCCCUGGCCCAGGCCUCCUUGUCAUCCUAGGGACCCCAAUUUCUGAGUCUAAAUUGGGCACAUUCCCUGGGAAGGUUGAGGAUAAAGAUGAUUGGGAAAUGUUAAAGGAACUCCAAGUCAAAACUCCACACAGCUGAGUAUUCAGCUGGCCCUCCUCUGGGGUGGCAGGAACUGGAAGUUCUAACAUUAACUGUUGCUCACUGUGUGCUGGCCACAUGUCCAGACCUUUCUCACUACCAGGUGAGGUAAGUGCUACUAUUCUCCCCCAUUUUAUAGUUGAAGGAACUGAAGUGUACGGCAGCUGUGGGGUUUCCUCUAGGUCAGGUAGCAAGGAGGUAGAAAGGGAGCAUCUAGAUACCAACUAGUGAAGUCUACCUGCUGAGUCCACACCCCUGACCUGGGGGCUAAGGAUCACCUGGCUGUAAGCUGAGAAAGCUUUAGGGCUUUUGUAGGGUUGGGAGAGCUCUGUGUUCUACCCUCUGGGGUCCAGUUCUGUGGGGUAUGGCACCGCUACAGAGGUCACCCACUCAUUAAAAAUAAACCUGCCUCUGCAUCCCUCCUUUAUGUUAAUGAGACAGACAGAAGUGGGACUCUUCCACUUGGAUUGUCCUUCAUGAGGGGUGGGUCAAGUCCAUGGUCAGCCCCCGAAAAGGUGAUCCUCUUGAGGGAUUUCUGAGUGCAAGCUGGGGUGCCUCAGACAGAGGGGAGGGCUGGCUCGGCCUGGGAGAGAGAAGACUGGUUGACUCAGGUGGGAGGCUGGGCUCUGCCUGAGGGAAGGGCCUAAGGGGAGGGUUUUGAUUUUGGCUUUUUACUGAGGUAAAAUUAACACAAGAUUACCAAAACCAAACCAAACCUAUUACCAUCGAGUCAAUUCUGACUCAUAGCAACCCUAUAGGACAGAGGAGAACUGCCCCAUAGGGUUUCCAAGGAGUGGCUGGUGGAUUCAAACUGCCAACCUUUUGGUUAGCAGCCGAGCUCUUAACCACUGCGCCACCAGGACUCCAAACAAUUCAGUGGCAUUUGGGGCACUCACAAUGGUGUGCAACCAUCACCACUGUCUAGCUCCAAAACAUUUUCAUUACCCCCAAAGAAGACCUCGUGAGGGGAGCUUUGGAAGUUGUGAGCUGUGAACCAACCAAA
Molecule: long non-coding RNA, 8797 nt
Organism: Loxodonta africana (African savanna elephant)
Lineage: Eukaryota; Metazoa; Chordata; Mammalia; Proboscidea; Elephantidae
Exons: 3
Source: RefSeq, a predicted model, not a curated record